AGCAGCCGCGGUAAUUCCAGCUCCAAUAGCGUAUAUUAAAGUUGUUGCAGUUAAAAAGCUCGUAGUUGAAUUUCGGGGUUCUACCGUUGGUCGGGCUUUGUUUGUACUGGCGUGUAGAAUUUUUACCUUUUGGGGAACCAUCAUGUUAUUAAUUUAACGUGGUGGGAAAUCAGGACCUUUACCUUGAAAAAAUUAGAGUGUUCAAAGCCGGCUUAUGUUUGAAUACAUUAGCAUGGAAUAAUAAAAUAGGACGGUGGUCCUAUUUUGUUGGUUUUUAGGAUCGACGUAAUGAUUAAUAGGGAUAGUUGGGGGCAUUAGUAUUCAAUUGUCAGAGGUGAAAUUCUUGGAUUUAU
RNAcentral lists this ribosomal RNA (353 nucleotides) under uncultured Racocetraceae. Its description in RNAcentral is "SSU rRNA". It matches the Rfam family "Eukaryotic small subunit ribosomal RNA", at positions 569 to 929 of the family's 1831-position model. Lineage: Eukaryota; Fungi; Glomeromycota; Glomeromycetes; Diversisporales; Gigasporaceae. The record is from RNAcentral.